This 1376-nucleotide ribosomal RNA is filed under the name uncultured bacterium. RNAcentral's name for it is "bacterial SSU rRNA". It matches the Rfam family "Bacterial small subunit ribosomal RNA", at positions 28 to 1381 of the family's 1533-position model. The record is from RNAcentral.
AUUUGAACGCUGGCGGCAGGCCUAACACAUGCAAGUCGAGCGGAAACGAGUUAUCUGAACCUUCGGGGGACGAUAACGGCGUCGAGCGGCGGAAGGGUGAGUAAUGCCUAGGAAAUUGCCCUGAUGUGGGGGAUAACCAUUGGAAACGAAUGGCUAAUACCGCAUGAUGCCUACGGGCCAAAGAGGGGGACCUUCGGGCCUCUCGCGUCAGGAUGUGCCUAGGUGGGAUUAGCUAGUUGGUGAGGUAAGGGCUCACCAAGGCGACGAUUCCUAGCUGGUCUGAGAGGAUGAUCAGCCACACUGGAACUGAGACACGGUCCAGACUCCUACGGGAGGCAGCAGUGGGGAAUAUUGCACAAUGGGCGCAAGCCUGAUGCAGCCAUGCCGCGUGUAUGAAGAAGGCCUUCGGGUUGUAAAGUACUUUCAGUCGUGAGGAAGGUGGUGUAGUUAAUAGCUGCAUUAUUUGACGUUAGCGACAGAAGAAGCACCGGCUAACUCCGUGCCAGCAGCCGCGGUAAUACGGAGGGUGCGAGCGUUAAUCGGAAUUACUGGGCGUAAAGCGCAUGCAGGUGGUUUGUUAAGUCAGAUGUGAAAGCCCGGGGCUCAACCUCGGAAUAGCAUUUGAAACUGGCAGACUAGAGUACUGUAGAGGGGGGUAGAAUUUCAGGUGUAGCGGUGAAAUGCGUAGAGAUCUGAAGGAAUACCGGUGGCGAAGGCGGCCCCCUGGACAGAUACUGACACUCAGAUGCGAAAGCGUGGGGAGCAAACAGGAUUAGAUACCCUGGUAGUCCACGCCGUAAACGAUGUCUACUUGGAGGUUGUGGCCUUGAGCCGUGGCUUUCGGAGCUAACGCGUUAAGUAGACCGCCUGGGGAGUACGGUCGCAAGAUUAAAACUCAAAUGAAUUGACGGGGGCCCGCACAAGCGGUGGAGCAUGUGGUUUAAUUCGAUGCAACGCGAAGAACCUUACCUACUCUUGACAUCCAGAGAACUUUCCAGAGAUGGAUUGGUGCCUUCGGGAACUCUGAGACAGGUGCUGCAUGGCUGUCGUCAGCUCGUGUUGUGAAAUGUUGGGUUAAGUCCCGCAACGAGCGCAACCCUUAUCCUUGUUUGCCAGCGAGUAAUGUCGGGAACUCCAGGGAGACUGCCGGUGAUAAACCGGAGGAAGGUGGGGACGACGUCAAGUCAUCAUGGCCCUUACGAGUAGGGCUACACACGUGCUACAAUGGCGCAUACAGAGGGCGGCCAACUUGCGAAAGUGAGCGAAUCCCAAAAAGUGCGUCGUAGUCCGGAUUGGAGUCUGCAACUCGACUCCAUGAAGUCGGAAUCGCUAGUAAUCGUGGAUCAGAAUGCCACGGUGAAUACGUUCCCGGGCCU